UACAGAGGGGGCAAGCGUUGUUCGGAAUUACUGGGCGUAAAGGGCUCGUAGGCGGCCAACUAAGUCAUACGUGAAAUCCCUCGGCUUAACCGGGGAACUGCGUCUGAUACUGGAUGGCUUGAGUUCGGGAGAGGGAUGCGGAAUUCCAGGUGUAGCGGUGAAAUGCGUAGAUAUCUGGAGGAACACCGGUGGCGAAGGCGGCAUCCUGGACCGAUACUGACGCUGAGGAGCGAAAGCCAGGGGAGCAAACGGG
RNAcentral lists this ribosomal RNA (253 nucleotides) under uncultured bacterium. Its description in RNAcentral is "partial 16S ribosomal RNA". It matches the Rfam family "Bacterial small subunit ribosomal RNA", at positions 524 to 776 of the family's 1533-position model. The record is from RNAcentral.